UGAUAGGAGCACAGAAGUCAAGUCCAUGU
Molecule: non-coding RNA, 29 nt
Filed under: Mus musculus (house mouse)
Lineage: Eukaryota; Metazoa; Chordata; Mammalia; Rodentia; Muridae
Source: RNAcentral